UGGGGAAUCUUGCACAAUGGGGGCAACCCUGAUGCAGCGACGCCGCGUGAGCGAUGAAGCCCUUCGGGGCGUAAAGCUCUUUCGACCGGAACGAUAAUGACGGUACCGGGAGAAGAAGCUGCGGCUAACUACGUGCCAGCAGCCGCGGUAAUACGUAGGCAGCAAGCGUUGUUCGGAGUUACUGGGCGUAAAGAGUGCGUAGGCGGUUUUCUAAGUUCGGUGUGAAAUCUCCCGGCUUAACUGGGAGGGUGCGCCGAAGACUGGGAAGCUGGAGUGUGGGAAAGGCAGGCGGAAUUCCUGGUGUAGCGGUGAAAUGCGUAGAUAUCAGGAGGAACACCGGCGGUGUAGACGGCUUGCUAGACCAUAACUGACGCUAAGGCACGAAAGCGUGGGUAGCAAACA
This 402-nucleotide ribosomal RNA is filed under the name uncultured bacterium. RNAcentral's name for it is "bacterial SSU rRNA". It matches the Rfam family "Bacterial small subunit ribosomal RNA", at positions 355 to 774 of the family's 1533-position model. The record is from RNAcentral.